UUGUCAUGAUCAUGAUCAAAUUAUUGUUGUAGAGAGAAACAGGAUCUCUUAGAAAUGCUUCGAACUUGGGAAAAUAUUGUGAAACGCGCAAUCUUUGAAAGGAGUGUCUGCGGGGUCAAUAAGUCCGGCAGCUUUUCGAAUGAGUUUGUUUUGUGAGAUGAAUGUGGGGAUAGAGUUCCGGCCAACAUAUAUAUCAAUGUUUAGCUGAAAAUAAACUACAUGGCGAAGAAAAUUCACUACUUCCUUCACUACCAUAUUUUCUUCUUCAUUUAUUGAUAUUAGAAUCGGAAUAUUCAUUUACGAGUUGCGGUGAAAAGUCAAAAAUAUAAAAAUCGU
Molecule: long non-coding RNA, 336 nt
Organism: Plodia interpunctella (Indianmeal moth)
Lineage: Eukaryota; Metazoa; Arthropoda; Insecta; Lepidoptera; Pyralidae
Exons: 3
Source: RefSeq, a predicted model, not a curated record